This is a non-coding RNA of Peromyscus maniculatus bairdii (prairie deer mouse), 1642 nucleotides long. The record is from RefSeq and is a predicted model, not a curated record. NCBI's taxonomy places the organism in Eukaryota, Metazoa, Chordata, Mammalia, Rodentia, Cricetidae.
GCUCACCACACGUGUGGGCAGUACCAUUCCAUGGGCUGGGGUCCCAAACUAAAUGAAAGUGAGAAGGCCCAUGGGAGCCCCUGGCGUUCACUCCUCUCUGCUUCCUGACUAUGAAGAUAACGUGACCAGCGGCCUCACGCUUCUUCCACCAUGCUUUCUGCACCGUGCUGGACUGCACUCUGACUGAAAUGAACCUGCCUGCCUCAGUUGCCUUUCCAGCGUUGCACAUGCGGACCCCUGUGGGCACCAACAAUGCUGUGGACACAGGAGAGCUGACUCGCAGGCAGCCAGAGAAACUGGCCUCACACCUCCCCUGCCCGUGACACCAGUAGCGGCAUAGACAUGGGAGGAGAGAACUGGCUCUGUUCGUGAAGGCGGCAGUCAUAAGUCCACUGAAAUCUUCCUCAUACACCAGGGGCAUCAAUGGUUGCAGCUUUUCGGAGCAGGAUGGUGAUAAAAAAGUGGACAGGAAAAUCAUGUACAAGUCUGCAAUUCCACCCACGUGACUCCUCUUUAAACCACAGGUAGCAGUCAUGGGCCCAUAAAUAAUCCAAGGCAGUAUCACUUCAUACAUUAGAUUUUUCUACAUGGGAAGAUCUCUUUUGGGAGACACGACAAACAUUGACUACAACAAACUGACCAGGAAACAUUCUCCCUUCUGGAUAAUUUUAGUAAUGCUGAAAGGUGUUAUGCAGUCUUCUAGAGGAUCAAAGAUAUCAACGACUUUACCCAGCUCUGGAACCUAUAUGCUUAACACUGUCCUACCAGUAAAGAUAUGCCUAGCUGUGCGAACAAUGGCUGAUUGUUGUUAUAGGGCAAAUAAUCACUCUCUGAUGGAAUUUGAGGCCUUCUUUAUGGAAAGGAAUUUUAUGCCUAGUAUUGUAACCCUUGUCGAAAUCCCAUUGCUGGGGAGGUCAUGGGUCCGAGGGUAGAACCUGCUAUUGUUAUUUUGCUAAAUGUCCACACUGUCAAAUGGCCCUCUGAAUAUUUAUGUUUAUGCCCUUAAACAUAGACUAGUCUAAAUCCUUGUCAAGGAAGCUUCUUUGUGUAGUGGACGUCUGUCUGUGGAGAAAUGCAUAAAUGGUCAACAUACUAGGAAUAAGAGGUUGGAAACUCAGCCCUAAGUGAGACAUCUAAAUUAACUCCACCAGUACCAAGGCUCAUACAACAUCAUGGAAGAGGAGAUGAAAAAAGAAAAAAAACAUCAGAGCCAGAGGGUACUGUGAAAUGUUGCCUUCUAGACACGACAUGGCUAGCGCACACAUGAAUUCACACUAGCCAGGGGUCCCUGAACAAGAUGAAACCAGCAAAAAUCAAGACAAAAUGAGGUAUGUUAUCUCCAUCCCUGCCCUUCCUGACUGUCUAUUGGCAGUGGAUAGUUACAGGAGAAUCAUUCUUUGUUGAGGAUGUGACUACUGGUAGGUUUCCCAUGUUCCAACAGACUGUCCCAUACCCAUACACACAUAUAUAGGUAACACUAACUAGACUUAGUGGGAUAUAUACAUAUAAAAAAAAAGACAUGGAGUCAGGAGAGGGUGUAAUGGAGUAUAUGGAGGGAGUUGGAGGAGGCAAAUGAGAAGAAAAUAUGAUUAUAUUUUAUAGUAAACAUGAAGGAAAUUCUCAAAAAUAAAGAAAAAAAGCA